RNAcentral lists this ribosomal RNA (253 nucleotides) under uncultured bacterium. Its description in RNAcentral is "partial 16S ribosomal RNA". It matches the Rfam family "Bacterial small subunit ribosomal RNA", at positions 524 to 776 of the family's 1533-position model. The record is from RNAcentral.
UACGGGGGGGGCAAGCGUUGUUCGGAAUUACUGGGCGUAAAGGGCUCGUAGGUGGCCAACUAAGUCAGACGUGAAAUCCCUCGGCUUAACCGGGGAACUGCGUCUGAUACUGGAUGGCUUGAGUUUGGGAGAGGGACGCGGAAUUCCAGGUGUAGCGGUGAAAUGCGUAGAUAUCUGGAGGAACACCGGCGGCGAAGGCGGCGUCCUGGACCAACACUGACACUGAUGAGCGAAAGCCAGGGGAGCAAACGGG